This 1010-nucleotide non-coding RNA is filed under the name Drosophila persimilis. Its description in RNAcentral is "Eukaryotic large subunit ribosomal RNA". It matches the Rfam family "Eukaryotic large subunit ribosomal RNA", at positions 1969 to 2566 of the family's 3401-position model. Lineage: Eukaryota; Metazoa; Arthropoda; Insecta; Diptera; Drosophilidae. The record is from Rfam by way of RNAcentral.
UGGCAGCACUUCCUAUGUGCUUGUCCCCUCUAUACAGACUUGCGAGACCUCGAUGGACUUGGAGUGCAGUACACGGAUGGCGACUGGACCUUCUCCGAUGUGACGGCUUCUCAGGAGAGAAUGCGGACUCUCGACAGGUUCGCCGGACUGGCGUUCUCCAGACGACAACAGCUGCUGAAUGCGCAAGCGGCGCACGGGCUGGGUGGAUUCCCUAUCCAGGCCGGUCGGGGCUAAAAGGGAGGAUCGAGCUGAGUCCUUAAGAUCGGUACCACGGGUUGUGCAGUUCCAAGGCUGCACAUUGAGGUCGGCCCCCUAGUGGGAGUAUCGUGGUGGCUGUGGUUGAUACCCAAACGUUACGCGGGGAGAGCCGCUAGGCUCCUCGUGGAGUUGCGCUCUCAACCGGGUGCCGAGACCCAUAGAUCGGAAGACGUGUUAGAUACACCUCGCCCCUCACCAAGGGGGAUUGUAUGCCCGACCAGGAUACUUUCAAUUGGUACCAGAAGAGUCGCUAUGUACAUAGCUAUAGCUUCUUUUUAGGGGCGCUAACUGGCGCAUUGUACCAGGUUCCUGCGUAUGUAGCGGUGGUGCGUGAUGGCGUGAUAUAUGUAAAUAUAUCGCACUAAUCGAGGCUAAGCUGCAAAUAAACAUUAGACGCCGUGGUUGAAAUCCCUCCCUGAGGAACCGCCACGUAAAAUAAAGCUGAGAGAUCAGAUUCAUUCUGUCCCUAUCUACUAUCUAGCGAAACCACAGCCAAGGGAACGGGCUUGGAAUAAUUAGCGGGGAAAGAAGACCCUUUUGAGCUUGACUCUAAUCUGGCAGUGUAAGGAGACAUAAGAGGUGUAGCAUAAGUGGGAGAUAUAAGAUUUCGAUUUGGUAUCGACAAUGAAAUACCACUACUCUUAUUGUUUCCUUACUUACUUGAUUAAAUGGAACGUGUAUCAUUUCCUAUCCAUUAUACGGAUAUGUUUAUUAUAUCUUAUGGUAUUGGGUUUUGAUGCAAGCUUCUUGAU